This is a long non-coding RNA of Tigriopus californicus, 847 nucleotides long. RefSeq lists it as uncharacterized. The transcript is spliced from 2 exons. The record is from RefSeq and is a predicted model, not a curated record. Lineage: Eukaryota; Metazoa; Arthropoda; Copepoda; Harpacticoida; Harpacticidae.
GGCCAAGAGCUUUUUCCCAACUGGGGUGCUGUGUUCGAGUCCCGAGGGAAGUUUGAUACUCAAGCCUCUAUCUUCAGCUUCAACGGACAGGACGUCAUGAAGAGCAUGAAUUGGCCCAGGAAAUUAGCUUGGCAUGGGGGCGGUUCUUGGGGCGAGGCGUCCCAUUUCCACUGUCACGCCUGGUCUUCGGCUAGCUCCCUUCAAUUGGGGAUGGCUUCCAACCUGGAAAAAGGCCACCUCUUGGAUCAGCGGAAAGUUCCUUGUGACCAUCAAUUCAUUCUUCUUUGCAUUGAAACCACCUCGCACACUCUGUUUUCUACUUAAAGCUGCUCGCUUUUCCCCGGCCAAUUUUUAGCGUUCACCCGAUGGAAAUUCAAUGCGCCAUUCAAUUUAUUGCAAUACUUUCUUGAAAGAUGGCCCAAAAUUGGACUCUGGAAAGUAACAUUGACGUUUACGUCAAAAGAUUUUAUUCUCGACCAGGCCUGCUUUGCUCCGGAUUAUCACCUUAUAAGUCUACUUUGUCCAACUGUUGCCCGUACGUAAACAAGUCUUCCACUACUUACUCUCUGCAGUAAAUCCAAGUGCUCUCAAUUCGUACUAUUUGUUAUGCACUUACAUGCACACGCCUCUUUGACAACCAAGUCUUCCAUUCACCUCAACCACAAAGAUAUAUCGAUGAUGAUAUCGAUGAGCACAACAUAUUUGUGUCAAGGGUAAGGGCAACUUCAGUUCCUCUAUCACGUCUGCCCUAAUGUACUAUGUUUGAUAUCAAACACCGUUUAAAGUUAUGCACAAAUUCUGUUCUAGUUAUAUUCAGCUUUUUUGGAAUAAAUACGAUUGAAGUUUU